Molecule: ribosomal RNA, 497 nt
Filed under: uncultured bacterium
Lineage: Bacteria
Description: partial 16S ribosomal RNA
Rfam family: Bacterial small subunit ribosomal RNA
Source: RNAcentral
AGUGAACGCUGGCGGCAUGCCUAAUACAUGCAAGUCGAACGGCAGCACAGUAAGAGCUCGCCCCUACGGGUAGCGAGUGGCGGACGGGUGAGACAUACAUAGCCUACCUAUAAUUCUUGGAGAAUUUCGGAGGACAAGAUACGCUAAUAGCGCAUACGACCUACGGCAGAAAGCAGCAGAGCAAGGCACUUUGGCUGUCACAUAUAGAUGGAUCCGCGCCGCAUUAGCUAGUUGGUAAGGUAACGGCUCACCAAGGAAACGAUGCGUAGCCGAUCUGAGAGGGUGAUCAGCCACACUGGAACUGAGACACGGUCCAGACUCCUACGGGAGGCAGCAGUAGGGAAUAUUCGGCAAUGGGCGAAAGCCUGAUCGAGCCACGCCGCGUGAGUGAAGAAGGUCUUCGGAUUGUAAAACCCUGUUAUUAGGGAAGAAAAGCUGCGUAAUAAAACCCCCCUGUUCUGACGGUACCCAAAGAGAAAGCACCGGCUAACUUCGUG